Molecule: ribosomal RNA, 307 nt
Filed under: uncultured Catenulostroma
Lineage: Eukaryota; Fungi; Ascomycota; Dothideomycetes; Mycosphaerellales; Teratosphaeriaceae
Description: partial large subunit ribosomal RNA
Rfam family: Eukaryotic large subunit ribosomal RNA
Source: RNAcentral
AUAUCAAUAAGCGGAGGAAAAGAAACUAACAAGGAUUCCCUUAGUAACGGCGAGUGAAGCGGCAACAGCUCAAAUUUGAAAUCUGCCUCUAGGCCGAGUUGUAAUUUGUAGAAGAUGCUUCGGGUGUGGCACCGGUCUAAGUUCCUUGGAACAGGACGUCACAGAGGGUGAGAAUCCCGUACGUGACCGGUUGGCACCCCACACGUAGCUCCUUCGACGAGUCGAGUUGUUUGGGAAUGCAGCUCUAAAUGGGAGGUAAAUUCCUUCUAAAGCUAAAUACCGGCCAGAGACCGAUAGCGCACAAGUA